RNAcentral lists this unclassified non-coding RNA (395 nucleotides) under soil metagenome. Its description in RNAcentral is "partial contains 5.8S ribosomal RNA, internal transcribed spacer 2, and large subunit ribosomal RNA". The stretch from base 1 to 120 matches the Rfam family "5.8S ribosomal RNA", at positions 35 to 154 of the family's 154-position model. The record is from RNAcentral.
GAUGAAGAACGCAGCGAAAUGCGAUAAGUAAUGUGAAUUGCAGAAUUCAGUGAAUCAUCGAAUCUUUGAACGCACCUUGCGCUCCUUGGUAUUCCGAGGAGCAUGCCUGUUUGAGUGUCAUUAAAUUCUCAACCAUUAUCAACUUUUGCUGAUAAUGGCUUGGAUGUGGGGGUCUAUUUUGCUGGCUUCUCAGAUAGUCAGCUCCCCUUAAAUGCAUUAGCCGGUGCCCCGCGUGGACUGUCUAUUGGUGUGAUAAUUAUCUACGCUAUGGACAUCUGCAAUCAUAUGGGUUUGCGCUACUUCUAACAGUCUGUUGAUUCAGACAAUACAUGACAAUUUGACCUCAAAUCAGGUAGGACUACCCGCUGAACUUAAGCAUAUCAAUAAGCGGAGGA